UUUUCCUUCAUUUUGGGCUAUUGUAUGCUCCGGUGUUGUCACACUUUCCCCUUAGAUUCUUGUUAUUGUUAAAGUUGAUAUUACUCCAUAGAGUUGUCUUGGAGGUGUGUUACUUUGUGAAGGCAAAGUCAACUAGUUAAUUACCAGAUAAUGUGGUAGUCGACAGGUUUGGACAAAAAGAUAUCAGCAGGAAUGUCUAUCUUAUUGCAAGAUAGAAGAAUAAAAAAUUUCAUUCUUUGAAUUAUGAGCAGUGAGUUUAGAAGCUUAAACAUUUCAUAUAGUUAAAAUAUGUUAAGUCUAAUCCCUGAAACAAAUAGAGAGUUUUAUCGUAGCAAAUGUAUAGCUAAUAUAUAGCUUCACAUUCUAUAUGAUUUAUUUUUGCAGUGGUCAUAAAACAGAACAUUACAACAUAUGAAAAAUCAUAUUGUGUUACAGAUUCUACUUUUUAUUUACUCUUAUGAAUUUCUUUUCUCUCUUUUACACAGGUAUAAAAGGUGAGAAUUGAAUCAAGACUAAUGCAAGACAAGUAUCACCAUAUUAUUGAUACUUUGGAAGAAAUUUCUACUUUUCUGUCUUGGUUUAGGAGUAAUAUUUCUUCUAUUUCAGUUAGAUUUUCUUGUUAUUGGACAUAUUUUACUUUAGUUCAUGGAGCUUGUUAAAGUACCUUCAGAUAUUUUAGUUGUUUUUAAUUGUAAUGGAUAGAUUUCAUUAUAAUCUAGCAUGUUUUAUUAUUUAAUUUUUAA
RNAcentral lists this long non-coding RNA (743 nucleotides) under Solanum tuberosum (potato). RNAcentral's name for it is "long non-coding RNA (STUB_LNC009237)". Lineage: Eukaryota; Viridiplantae; Streptophyta; Magnoliopsida; Solanales; Solanaceae. The record is from RNAcentral.